GGAUAACUGAUCCUACUUUAAAAUAAAAAUUAAACAAAAAAUAAUUUUUUAUUAAAAAUUUUCUAUAGAAAAGUAAUAAAAAUGAAAUUCUAUUAUUAUUUUAGCCUAGUACUGCAAAGGAAAAAAAAAUUAAAGCUUAGUAUUACUUAAUUUUAGUACCUUUUGCAUUAUGGUUUAACGAGAUUAAAUUAAAUUAAAUUUAAAAUCUAGAAUAAAAAAGAGCUAUAAUUAAACAAAAUAUAAUGUAGCAAAAUUAUUAAUAGAUUUAACUAUAGUGGUGAAAUGCCAACGAUUUUUUUGAUAGCUAGUUGGAAAGUAAAAGCAUAUUAGUGCUGUAUAUAGUAAUAAAAUAUUUUAUUAUUAAAAAUAUUUUAAUUUUAUAUUCAUAAUUAUUCAAGGCUAAGCUGGGAUAAAAAUAAAAAUAAAAUAACUUAAAAAAAUUAAUGUAGGCUUAAUAGUUACCAGCAUUUUUAAAGUUUUAUAACAAAAAUUUUAUUAAAUUCUUAUUAUCUUAUUUUUUUUUCACUUUUCUAAUAUUAAAAAUCAUCAUUAGAAUAAAAAUUUAUGUUAAAAUUAGUACUUUAAUUUUUAUUUAUUUUAAGUAAUAAAAAAUUAAUAAAAUAAUAUUAAAAGAAUUAUUAUAAAUAUAAUAAAGGAACUCGGCAAAAAUAAAUUCCGCCUGUUUAACAAAAACAUCGCUCUUUGUUAAUUAAAGAUAAAGAGUCGUACCUGCCCAGUGGAUUAUUUUAACGGCCGCAGUACCCUGACUGUGCUAAGGUAGCAUAAUCAUUUGCCUUUUAAUUGAUGGCUAGAAUGAAUGGUGUGACGAGAAUUUAACUGUCUCUUAUUAUAUUAUUUGGAAAUUAUUUUUUAGGUGAAGAAGCCUAAAUUUAAUUAAAAGACGAAAAGACCCUGUCGAGCUUAAAAACUAAAUUUAAAUUUUUAUCUUGUAGAAUAAUAUUGUUUUUGAUUUAAAAUUUUUGUUGGGGCGACAGAAGAACAAAAGAAGCUUCUUUUAAUUUUUUAAACUUAUUAAUUUUUUUUAUCUAUUACUAAUAAAUUAAAAAAAGUUACCGCAGGGAUAACAGCGUUAUUUUUCCGGAAAGUUCGAAUUAAAGGAAAAGAUUGCGACCUCGAUGUUGGAUUAGAAAACCAAGUAGGUGAAGAAGCUUACUAUAGGAGGUCUGUUCGACCUGUAAUUUUCUACAUGAUCUGAGUUCAAACCGGCGCAAGCCAGGUUGGUUUCUAUCUUUAUUUAUAGAAAUAAAUUAAAUUUAGUACGAAAGGACCAAUUUAGUCAAUCAUUAUUGAAUAUUAUCAACUUAGCAAAUUAAGUGCAAAUAAUUUAGAAUUAUUAAAAAAAGGUUAA
Molecule: ribosomal RNA, 1369 nt
Filed under: Chaetopleura apiculata
Lineage: Eukaryota; Metazoa; Mollusca; Polyplacophora; Chitonida; Chaetopleuridae
Description: 16S ribosomal RNA
Rfam family: Eukaryotic large subunit ribosomal RNA (bases 638-1369)
Source: RNAcentral